CGCAGCUAACGCACUAAGUUGACCGCCUGGGGAGUACGGCCGCAAGGUUAAAACUCAAAUGAAUUGACGGGGGCCCGCACAAGCGGUGGAGCAUGUGGUUUAAUUCGACGCAACGCGAAGAACCUUACCUGGCCUUGACAUCCUGCGAACUUUCUAGAGAUAGAUUGGUGCCUUCGGGAACGCAGUGACAGGUGCUGCAUGGCCGUCGUCAGCUCGUGUCGUGAGAUGUUGGGUUAAGUCCCGUAACGAGCGCAACCCCUAUCCUUGGUUGCUAGCAGUUCGGCUGAGAACUCCAGGGAGACUGCCGGUGACAAACCGGAGGAAGGUGGGGAUGACGUCAGGUCAUCAUGGCCCUUACGGCCAGGGCUACACACGUGCUACAAUGGCGCGCACAGAGGGCUGCAAACCCGCGAGGGUAAGCCAAUCUCUUAAAACGCGUCGUAGUCCGGAUCGCAGUCUGCAACUCGACUGCGUGAAGUCGGAAUCGCUAGUAAUCGCGAAUCAGAAUGUCGCGGUGAAUACGUUCCCGGGCCUUGUACACACCGCCCGUCACACCAUGAGAGUGGAUUGCACCAGAAGUGGUUAGUCUAACCUUCGGGAGGACGAUCACCACGGUGUGGUUCAUGACUGGGGUG
This 635-nucleotide ribosomal RNA is filed under the name uncultured bacterium. RNAcentral's name for it is "bacterial SSU rRNA". It matches the Rfam family "Bacterial small subunit ribosomal RNA", at positions 847 to 1482 of the family's 1533-position model. The record is from RNAcentral.